RNAcentral lists this ribosomal RNA (492 nucleotides) under uncultured bacterium. RNAcentral describes it as "partial 16S ribosomal RNA". It matches the Rfam family "Bacterial small subunit ribosomal RNA", at positions 29 to 507 of the family's 1533-position model. The record is from RNAcentral.
AGUGAACGCUGGCGGUAUGCCUAAUACAUGCAAGUCGAACGGACACACAAUAAGCUUGCGCCCCUACGGGUAGCGGGUGACGGACGGGUGAGGCAUGCAUCACCUUCCUCUUUUUCGGGGAGGACAUCGUAGAGACACUGACGCUACUACCUCAUAUGAUCUACGGCUUAAAGCAGUAGUUCAUGACAGUUUUGCUGUUUCAUAUAGCCGAAGUCGCAUUAGCUAGUUGGUUUGGUAAAGGCUCACCAAGGCGACGAUGCGUAGCUGGUCUGAGAGGAUGAUCAGCCACACUGGAACUGAGACACGGUCCAGACUCCUACGGGAGGCAGCAGUAGGGAAUAUUCCGCAAUGGGCGAAAGCCUGACGGAGCAACGCCGCGUGAGUGAUGAAGGUCUUCGGGUCGUAAAGCUCUGUUAUUAGGGAAGAACAAAAGCGGAAGUAACUAUGCACGUCCUGACGGUACCUAAACAGAAAGCCACGGCUAACUACGUG